UACACUCCUGCGGGAGGCAGCAGUGGGGAAUAUUGGACAAUGGGCGCAAGCCUGAUCCAGCCAUGCCGCGUGAGUGAUGAAGGCCCUAGGGUUGUAAAGCUCUUUCACCGGUGAAGAUAAUGACGGUAACCGGAGAAGAAGCCCCGGCUAACUUCGUGCCAGCAGCCGCGGUAAUACGAAGGGGGCUAGCGUUGUUCGGAUUUACUAGGCGUAAAGCGCACGUAGGCGGACUAUUAAGUCAGGGGUGAAAUCCCGGGGCUCAACCCCGGAACUGCCUUUGAUACUGGUAGUCUUGAGUUCGAGAGAGGUGAGUGGAAUUCCGAGUGUAGAGGUGAAAUUCGUAGAUAUUCGGAGGAACACCAGUGGCGAAGGCGGCUCACUGGCUCGAUACUGACGCUGAGGUGCGAAAGCGUGGGGAGCAAACAGGAUUAGAAACCCUAGUAGUCCCAUGA
This 452-nucleotide ribosomal RNA is filed under the name uncultured organism. Its description in RNAcentral is "partial 16S ribosomal RNA". It matches the Rfam family "Bacterial small subunit ribosomal RNA", at positions 332 to 800 of the family's 1533-position model. The record is from RNAcentral.